UUGUACCUGUGCAGAGUUAACAAAAAGUUGCAUCCACCUUGAUUAAUCAGUGCUGUAGGCUGAUGCUGCACCUGGUGAGCAGCUCAGAGACACAAAUCAAACACACCAUGCAGCAAGUGCACGCUACAUGCUGACAUGCUCACCUCCAGCCGUCAUUUAUGGGUGCACCGAGGAACUUUUACCUUCAGUGAGGUGUGCGAGCCUGAAAGGACUUGUUAUACUGGGACAGAGAGACUGAGUGGAUUGGUUAUAUUCUGCUUUGGGAAUGAACGAGCAGAGAGAUGGCGACGGACUCCGCGGUGCAAAAGGCUGUCAGAGUGAGUGAUGUUCAGACAGGGAGAGUUUUGUAUCAGGAGGCAGAAACAGGAACAGGCCUCACUCCAGCCUUCUUCUUCUUUAGAAAAUCAGCACUUUUCAUCCUCAUCUUCAGCAGGAAAGGUCUUUAUGUCCUGGGUCCGGUUGCACAAAACACCUUCAG
This is a long non-coding RNA of Epinephelus moara (kelp grouper), 478 nucleotides long. RefSeq lists it as uncharacterized. NCBI's taxonomy places the organism in Eukaryota, Metazoa, Chordata, Actinopteri, Perciformes, Serranidae. The transcript has 3 exons. The record is from RefSeq and is a predicted model, not a curated record.